This is a long non-coding RNA of Pantherophis guttatus, 609 nucleotides long. RefSeq lists it as uncharacterized. The record is from RefSeq and is a predicted model, not a curated record. Lineage: Eukaryota; Metazoa; Chordata; Lepidosauria; Squamata; Colubridae.
CUAUCCCAGCAUUAGACCUUUCUCUAAAGGCACAAAAAACACGCACUGUGUAAAAAAAGAAAAAUCCCUUCUUUCUGAAAACUACUAGACUGGAGUUUUGAAAAAGCAUCUUUGGCAAAGACUUUAGAUUUCUUCCGCUUAGAGCCACAGAAGAAAAAAGACCACUGCAUUGCCAUGAGGACAAGGGGAGGCAGAUGCAGAAAACAUGUAGACCACUUCCUUCCUGCCAAGGUCAUCGGCAGAGCUCUGCUUCUCCUUCCCAAACAGCUUUAACUGUUUUGCACGUUUGGAAGGUGGGGAGAGGGGAGGUGGCCGACAGGACAUCAUUUGAAAUGCUGUGGGGUUGCCUAUGGUGGCAUCUUUAACAGAGGAAAAAAGACUAAAGAAACAAAAGAAAACAGUGAAGAAGAAGAAGAAAAGAAACUCUAAAUAUUUGGAAAGAAAGCUAAGAACUGGGUGAGAUAAUGACAAAGUUUAUCCCAAGGAGAAAUUAACUGCAAAGUUAACAAAUAAGGACAGGUCUUUUAAUAGUUUAUUUGCAUUUGGUAUGCCACAAAGCCACAAGCUCGGAAAAUAAAUUUGCUUUUUGUAAUGAUCACAAAAAACAAA